AGACGAAGGUGGCUAGCGUUAUUCGGAUUUACUGGGCAUAAAGCGCGCGUAGGCGGCCUGGCCAGUCGGUGGUGAAAGCCCGCAGCUCAACUGCGGAACUGCCGCCGAUACUACCGGGCUUGAGUGCAGGAGGGGUGACUGGAACUCCAGGUGUAGCGGUGAAAUGCGUAGAUAUCUGGAGGAACACCAGAGGCGAAGGCGGGUCACUGGACUGCAACUGACGCUGAGGUGCGAAAGUUAGGGGAGCGAACAGGAUUAGAAACCCCGGUAGUCC
Molecule: ribosomal RNA, 274 nt
Filed under: uncultured bacterium
Lineage: Bacteria
Description: partial 16S ribosomal RNA
Rfam family: Bacterial small subunit ribosomal RNA
Source: RNAcentral